AAAUGAAUUGACGGGGGCCCGCACAAGCGGAGGAACAUGUGGUUUAAUUCGAUGAUACGCGAGGAACCUUACCCGGGCUUGAACUAUGGUGGACCGUUCCAGAGAUGGAUCUUCCCUUCGGGGCCGCCAUGGAGGUGCUGCAUGGUUGUCGUCAGCUCGUGCCGUGAGGUGUCGGCUUAAGUGCCAUAACGAGCGCAACCCUUUCCGUUAGUUGCCAUCAGGUAAUGCUGGGGACUCUAUCGGUACUGCCAUCGUAAGAUGUGAGGAAGGUGGGGAUGACGUCAAAUCAGCACGGCCCUUACGUCCGGGGCUACACACGUGUUACAAUGGGGGGUACAGAGGGCUGCCACCUGGUGACAGGGAGCCAAUCCCGAAAACCCUUCUCAGUUCGGACUGGAGUCUGCAACCCGACUCCACGAAGCUGGAUUCGCUAGUAAUCGCGCAUCAGCCAUGGCGCGGUGAAUACGUUCCCGGGCCUUGUACACACCGCCCGU
Molecule: ribosomal RNA, 494 nt
Filed under: uncultured bacterium
Lineage: Bacteria
Description: bacterial SSU rRNA
Rfam family: Bacterial small subunit ribosomal RNA
Source: RNAcentral